RNAcentral lists this ribosomal RNA (551 nucleotides) under uncultured bacterium. RNAcentral's name for it is "bacterial SSU rRNA". It matches the Rfam family "Bacterial small subunit ribosomal RNA", at positions 297 to 829 of the family's 1533-position model. The record is from RNAcentral.
AGGAUGGCCAGCCACAUUGGGACUGAGAGACGGCCCAGACUCCUACGGGAGGCAGCAGUGGGGAAUCUUGCGCAAUGGUCGAAAGACUGACGCAGCGACGCCGCGUGCGGGAGGAAGCUCUUCGGGGUGUAAACCGCUGUUGCCCGGAACGAAACUCCAGAUUCGUCUGACUUGACGGUACCGGGUGAGGAAGCGCCGGCUAACUCUGUGCCAGCAGCCGCGGUAAUACAGAGGGCGCGAGCGUUGUCCGGAAUCACUGGGCGUAAAGGGCGCGUAGGUGGCGACAUAAGGCUGUGGUGAAUGGCUGGAGCUCAACUCCAGCUCGGCCGUGGCAACUGUGUUGCUUGGGCACCGUAGAGGCAGAUGGAAUUCCGGGUGUAGCGGUGGAAUGCGUAGAGAUCCGGAAGAACACCAGUGGCGAAGGCGGUCUGCUGGGCGGUGAGCUCGCAAGGGCUCAAUAGCCGACACUGAGGCGCGACAGCGUGGGGAGCAAACAGGAUUAGAUACCCUGGUAGUCCACGCCGUAAACGAUGGGCACUAGGUGCUCCGGG